Molecule: ribosomal RNA, 406 nt
Filed under: uncultured bacterium
Lineage: Bacteria
Description: partial 16S ribosomal RNA
Rfam family: Bacterial small subunit ribosomal RNA
Source: RNAcentral
AUUGAACGCUGGCGGCAGGCCUAACACAUGCAAGUCGAGCGAGCGGCGGACGGGUGAGUAAUGUCUGGGAAACUGCCUGAUAGAGGGGGAUAACUACUGGAAACGGUGGCUAAUACCGCAUACCAUCAGAUGAACCCAUAUGGGAUUAGCUAGUAGGUGGGGUAAAGGCUCACCUAGGCGACGAUCUCUAGCUGGUCUGAGAGGAUGACCAGCCACACUGGAACUGAGACACGGGCCAGACUCCUACGGUAGGCAGCAGUGGGGAAUAUUGCACAAUGGGCGCAAGCCUGAUGCAGCCAUGCCGCGUGUGUGAAGAAGGCCGUAGGGUUGUAAAGUACUUUCAGCGAGGAGGCGUUACUCGCAGAAGAAGCACCGGCUAACUCCGUGCCAGCAGCCGCGGUAAUAC